RNAcentral lists this long non-coding RNA (643 nucleotides) under Salvia miltiorrhiza (redroot sage). RNAcentral's name for it is "long non-coding RNA (SMIL_LNC010581)". Lineage: Eukaryota; Viridiplantae; Streptophyta; Magnoliopsida; Lamiales; Lamiaceae. The record is from RNAcentral.
GAUUGUGAACUCAAUUUAUAUCUCAACGUUUUCCAAUUAUAUGAUCUUCUGUGAUCUACAACACACCAUAUAAUCUAUAGUAUGAGAUAAAUUGGACUAUAAUAGGAUUAUGCAAUAACAAUAUUUCAGAUAGAAGAAUCACAGUGAACUAAGGAAUCAAUGUAUACAAGCAUAAAGUCUUGCUUUCAGUAUACAACCCUUCAGAUCCAAACACGAUUGUAGGCUAGUUCCACUGCAGUACAUAUAAUGCAAGUAAUAUGUAAAUGGAUCCAUUGAAUCCUAAGUAGAGAGUAACUUGAGCUUGAAUCCUAAGUGGAGAGAGAGGAGGGGGAGAGAGAGAGAUAACUGACUCCAUGGUGAGCGGAGGCGCGGGAUUGACGGCAUAUGGGCAUGGGCGGUUCUGGACCAGGCGGCGGUUUCGCAUCGACGGCAAGGAGAAGAUUGCGGAGAUCGACGGCGGAAAGAAGAUUAUGGAGAUCGACGGCGUGGCUCGGAGCGGGGCGGCGGUUCUGGAAUGACGGCGGGGAGAAGAAGCGGGGUUCGACGGCGUGGCUCCGGGUGGGGGCGGAGGUUCUGUUUUGCGUUGAUAAAAGAGUUCUGAAUCUUCUGAUGUUGGAGAAAAAGCAGUUAUGGCAUGAUUAGU